RNAcentral lists this unclassified non-coding RNA (214 nucleotides) under Hevea brasiliensis (rubber tree). Lineage: Eukaryota; Viridiplantae; Streptophyta; Magnoliopsida; Malpighiales; Euphorbiaceae. The record is from RNAcentral.
UUUGGAGUUUCCAAUCACUCCGGUUUACGCUCCCGGGAGUAAAACAAGGCCUUUGCAACACUUGGAAAGUUUGUUGGUUUUCCGGUACCAUUGUGGGCCGUGGUGGUAAAGGUGGUGGCCAAGGGUGGUAACUCCGGUUCAGAAGCUGAGAUUGGUUCAUGAUCGUCGACCGUUCGCCGGUGAGUUUCCUCCUAAAACUCAAAAAUACGCAAAA